Molecule: long non-coding RNA, 866 nt
Organism: Cyprinus carpio carpio
Lineage: Eukaryota; Metazoa; Chordata; Actinopteri; Cypriniformes; Cyprinidae
Source: Ensembl
UGAAAACCGCGGCAAUGGCCAUCAAAAAACCAACAACUUCCUCUGUCGCCUGCUCACUUCCUGUUUCUGCGUCUGAGGGCCCAACGGUGCAGUGAUGAUUAGCUGGGCCUUUGCGUGACAAUCAAGCAGCCAGACGCUCUUAGUUUCCCCCAUUCAGACCGGAAGCAGCACUAUUGCAACGAAUCAUCUGUGAAAUCUGUCUGCAGCCUUUCAAAAACAGGAAGUGUAACUGAGAUCUGAUAAAGACCCUCUCGAUUUCAUCUAGAUCACAUGGGCAUCAGUCAUCAGGUGUCUCACUGGGUCGUGUCCCAUGAAGGCAAAUAUUGCUCAUCUGAAAAAAAAAAGAACCAGGAUAUUUCACAAAAUGAUGCCUUUGCAAUCAAGGAUGUCAUGCACCUGCCUCAGGACUUCUCUGAACCAAAUGAGUGAUGGGCCCAACUGAAAGCAGGUCAUACCAACCGCACAACUAACCAUGGAACACACACACACUUAUACACUCACACACAGAGCCAGUUUAACAUGGAACACAAACGCUCACACUUCACACACACAUCCACUUUACCGUGGAACACUCAUUUCUCAACCUGUGGUCACAUCCCUACCCAGAAUGCACUCUGGCUGCGGUGACUCAUGACAUUCUGAUAAUCACCCAAAAACUGAAGUUCCACAGAACUUGAAUGUGUGUGUUAGUGGGGGUGUAAGGAAAGUGAUGCACGGAUUUACAAAUGUACAGAUAGAUAGAUGUAUGGAUGUACGGAUGGAUGAUGAACAAAUUAAUGUUGAAUUAUUAAUGGAUAUUAAAUGUAAUUUUCAUUUGUUUCUUAAAUUCACAUUUUUACUCCAAUUGCAAUUUCUUUAAAAAAAAA